AUGCUUUUCAAUGGUGGUUCUCUUUUGCUCCGACAGUUUUUUCAGCUCUGGUGGUGGAUCGGCUCAUGCUGCUUCAGUUCCGAAGUUUUGAUGUUUUAUCUCUUUCUUUCGGUUGGCUUUUCCAUGCUCUUUUGGGUGGCUUCUCCAAAGAUUACGAAAGCUCUUUCUCUGAUGGAUCUAUUACAAGUUUGUAUUUUUGGUGCUAAGUUGGUUUUUUGGGCUUUUGAUUAUCUGAUUCGGCUUUAG
Vicia faba (fava bean) is the source of this 246-nucleotide non-coding RNA. Lineage: Eukaryota; Viridiplantae; Streptophyta; Magnoliopsida; Fabales; Fabaceae. The record is from the annotation of a GenBank genome assembly.